RNAcentral lists this ribosomal RNA (498 nucleotides) under uncultured bacterium. Its description in RNAcentral is "partial 16S ribosomal RNA". It matches the Rfam family "Bacterial small subunit ribosomal RNA", at positions 28 to 523 of the family's 1533-position model. The record is from RNAcentral.
GAUGAACGCUAGCGGCAGGCCUAAUACAUGCAAGUCGAACGAUAGAAGAGGGCUUGCGCUCUUCGAAAGUGGCGCACGGGUGCGUAACGCGUAUGCAACCUACCUUAAUCAGGGGGACAGCCCGAAGAAAUUCGUAUGAACACCGCAUAAAAUCACAGUACAGCAUUGUACACUGAUCAUAUAUUUAUAGGAUUAAGAUGGUCAUGCGUGACAUUAGCUAGUUGGCGGGGUAACGGCCCACCGAGGCGACGAUGUCUAGGGGAUCUGAGAGGAUGACCCCCCACACUGGUACUGAGACACGGACCAGACUCCUACGGGGGGCAGCAGUAAGAAAUAUUGGUCAAUGGAGGCAACUCUGAACCAGCCAUGCCGCGUGCAGGAAGACAGCCCUCUGGGUCGUAAACUGCUUUUAUUCGGGAAUAAACCUACUUACGUGUAAGUAGCUGAAUGUACCGAAGGAAUAAGGAUCGGCUAACUCCGUGCCAGCCGCCGCAGUAA